GCCAUAGUGGCACGAGUCAGGCUUAAGGCAUCCGCCCUGAAAGCGGAAGUACGGAAGUACCAGGGGUUCAAAUCCUCUCUAUGGCG
This 86-nucleotide transfer RNA is filed under the name Methanobrevibacter sp. Its description in RNAcentral is "tRNA-Ser". It matches the Rfam family "tRNA". From Rfam's summary of the family: Transfer RNA (tRNA) molecules are approximately 80 nucleotides in length. The record is from RNAcentral. Lineage: Archaea; Methanobacteriati; Methanobacteriota; Methanobacteria; Methanobacteriales; Methanobacteriaceae.